CCUACGGGAGGCAGCAGUGAGGAAUAUUGGUCAAUGGACGAGAGUCUGAACCAGCAAAGUAGCGUGAAGGAUGACUGCCCUAUGGGUUGUAAACUUCUUUUAUAUGGGAAUAAAAUGUUCCACGUGUGGGAUUUUGUAUGUACCAUAUGAAUAAGGAUCGGCUAACUCGGUGCCAUCAGCCGCGGUAAUACGGAGGAUCCGAGGGUUGUCCGGAUUUAUUGGGUUUAAAGGGAGCGUAGGUGGAUUGUUAAGUCAGUUGUGAAAGUUUGCGGCUCAACCGUAAAAUUGCAGUUGAAACUGGCAGUCUUGAGUACAGUAGAGGUGGGCGGAAUUCGUGGUGUAGCGGUGAAAUGCUUAGAUAUCACGAAGAACUCCGAUUGCGAAGGCAGCUCACUGGACUGCAACUGACACUGAGGCUCGAAAGUGUGGGUAUCAAACAGGAUUAGAUACCCGGGUAGUC
RNAcentral lists this ribosomal RNA (460 nucleotides) under uncultured bacterium. RNAcentral describes it as "partial 16S ribosomal RNA". It matches the Rfam family "Bacterial small subunit ribosomal RNA", at positions 338 to 795 of the family's 1533-position model. The record is from RNAcentral.